GAAAAGGGCUUCUGUCCUGAGUGGCACAAGAAGAGCAGCCUAAUUGCUCUACAUGUGGAAUCAGGAUCAAGAGAUUUCAGAAGCAUAGUUUUUUGGUACUUGGGCAGCUGGUGAUCGUUGGUCCUGGUGCCCGC
Molecule: small nuclear RNA, 134 nt
Organism: Pipistrellus kuhlii (Kuhl's pipistrelle)
Lineage: Eukaryota; Metazoa; Chordata; Mammalia; Chiroptera; Vespertilionidae
Product: U11 spliceosomal RNA
Exons: 1
Source: RefSeq, a predicted model, not a curated record